RNAcentral lists this small nuclear RNA (171 nucleotides) under Crocodylus porosus (Australian saltwater crocodile). RNAcentral's name for it is "U4 spliceosomal RNA (ENSCPRG00005015277.1)". It matches the Rfam family "U4 spliceosomal RNA". From Rfam's summary of the family: U4 small nuclear RNA (U4 snRNA) is a component of the major U2-dependent spliceosome. The structure of U4 snRNA from yeast and human has been reported. The record is from Rfam by way of RNAcentral. Lineage: Eukaryota; Metazoa; Chordata; Crocodylia; Crocodylidae.
AGCUUUGCGCAGUGAGGGUAUGGUAGCCAAUGAGGUUAAUCCGAGGUGUGAUUUUUGCUAACUGAAAACUUUUAUUUUACCAAAUGCCCUGUCAUUUAUCUCUGGGGUGACUCACCGCAGUGUCCUGGAUGUUUAUCUCUAAUUCCUGGAGACUCCAGGGUGAUCCUGGAG